Molecule: ribosomal RNA, 322 nt
Filed under: uncultured eukaryote
Lineage: Eukaryota
Description: partial 18S ribosomal RNA
Rfam family: Eukaryotic small subunit ribosomal RNA
Source: RNAcentral
CCCUUAGAUGUCCUGGGCCGCACGCGCGCUACACUGACGGAGCCAGCGAGCGUGUCCUUCGCCGAAAGGUGCGGGUAAUCUUGGCAGCCUCCGUCGUGCUGGGGAUAGAUGGUUGCAAUUAUUGAUCUUGAACGAGGAAUUCCUAGUAAGCGCGAGUCACCAGCUCGCGUUGAUUACGUCCCUGCCCUUUGUACACACCGCCCGUCGCUCCUACCGAUUGAAUGUUCCGGUGAGCUCUUCGGACUGCGCGGUCUGCAGUUUCUGCGUUCCGUGCGGAAAGUUGCGCAAACCUUAACAUUUAGAGGAAGGAGAAGUCGUAACA